This 444-nucleotide ribosomal RNA is filed under the name uncultured bacterium. RNAcentral's name for it is "bacterial SSU rRNA". It matches the Rfam family "Bacterial small subunit ribosomal RNA", at positions 331 to 792 of the family's 1533-position model. The record is from RNAcentral.
CCAGACUCCUACGGGAGGCAGCAGUAGGGAAUUUUGCGCAAUGGGGGAAACCCUGACGCAGCAACACCGCGUGAAUGUUAAGCCCUUCGGGGUGUAAAGUUCUGUCAAUAGGGACGAAUUUUGACUGUACCUAUAAAGGAAGCACCGGCUAACUCCGUGCCAGCAGCCGCGGUAAUACGGGGGGUGCAAGCGUUGUCCGGAAUCAUUGGGCGUAAAGCGUUCGUAGGCGGUAUGUCAAGUCUGAUGUUAAAGCCCGGGGCUCAACUCCGGUUCGGCAUUGGAUACUGGCAAACUAGAAUGUGGUAGAGGUAAAGGGAAUUCCUGGUGUAGCGGUGAAAUGCGUAGAUAUCAGGAGGAACAUCGGUGGCGAAAGCGCUUUACUGGACCAUUAUUGACGCUGAGGAACGAAAGCCAGGGGAGCAAAUGGGAUUAGAUACCCCAGUA